RNAcentral lists this long non-coding RNA (406 nucleotides) under Carica papaya (papaya). Its description in RNAcentral is "long non-coding RNA (CPAP_LNC004279)". The record is from RNAcentral. Lineage: Eukaryota; Viridiplantae; Streptophyta; Magnoliopsida; Brassicales; Caricaceae.
AAUACCUCACUUCACAUUGAAUCCUAACCCUAGCCGCCAACCCUCCGCCGGAGAAGAAGAACUAGUCGCCGGAGAAGGAAGUCAACCGCCACCUCUUGUCGCGCUAGAGCUACCUCUGACUGCCAAAAAAGGUAAAAAAAAAUUUCAUUCGCUCGAAAUUUGAUUUUGAACACCCCCUUGGGAAAAUCGGAGCAAAAGGAUCGGCGGAUGAGGCAGAAAUCACGGGUGAAGCUUGGCGACACCGCUGCGGGAAAAAUAAAAAACCGCCUCUGAUGAGCCCUCUCCCAAUUUCCGUUUUGUGCAAUUUUUUCACUAUUGUAAUUACCAUUCUGUUUUCUACAGGUUGACCGAAGAAAAAUGCCCAACCACGAAGGUGAGCCAACAGAGCCGUCGCACGAAAAAUUCU